RNAcentral lists this ribosomal RNA (1438 nucleotides) under uncultured Pelagibacterales bacterium. Its description in RNAcentral is "uncultured SAR11 cluster alpha proteobacterium 16S ribosomal RNA". It matches the Rfam family "Bacterial small subunit ribosomal RNA". Lineage: Bacteria; Pseudomonadati; Pseudomonadota; Alphaproteobacteria; Candidatus Pelagibacterales. The record is from RNAcentral.
UUAGAGUUUGAUCCUGGCUCAGAACGUACGCUGGCGGCACGCCUAACACAUGCAAGUCGAACGAAGUAGCAAUACUUAGUGGCAGACGGGUGAGUAACAUGUAGGUAUCUGCCCUUUGGCCUGGAAUAACACGAGGAAACUUGUGCUAAUACUGGAUAAGUCUUUACGGAGAAAGCUUUAUGCACCAUUGGAUGAGCCUGCACUUGAUUAGUUUGUUGGUGGGGUAAUGGCCUACCAAGACUGUGAUCAAUAGCUGAUUUGAGAGGAUGAUCAGCCACAUUGGGACUGAGACACGGCCCAAACUCCUACGGGAGGCAGCAGUGGGGAAUCUUGCACAAUGGAGGAAACUCUGAUGCAGCGAUGCCGCGUGAGUGAAGAAGGCCCUUGGGUUGUAAAGCUCUUUCGUCGGGGAAGAAAAUGACUGUACCCGAAUAAGAAGGUCCGGCUAACUUCGUGCCAGCAGCCGCGGUAAUACGAAGGGACCUAGCGUAGUUCGGAAUUACUGGGCUUAAAGAGUUCGUAGGUGGUUGAAAAAGUUAGUGGUGAAAUCCCAGAGCUUAACUCUGGAACUGCCAUUAAAACUUUUCAGCUAGAGUAUGAUAGAGGAAAGCAGAAUUUCUAGUGUAGAGGUGAAAUUCGUAGAUAUUAGAAAGAAUACCAAUUGCGAAGGCAGCUUUCUGGAUCAUUACUGACACUGAGGAACGAAAGCAUGGGUAGCGAAGAGGAUUAGAUACCCUCGUAGUCCAUGCCGUAAACGAUGUGUGUUAGACGUUGGAAAUUUAUUUUCAGUGUCGCAGGGAAACCGAUAAACACACCGCCUGGGGAGUACGACCGCAAGGUUAAAACUCAAAUGAAUUGACGGGGACCCGCACAAGUAGUGGAGCAUGUGGUUUAAUUCGAAGAUACGCGCAGAACCUUACCAACACUUGACAUGUUCGUCGCGACUCUAAGAGAUUAGAGUUUUCGGUUCGGCCGGACGAAACACAGGUGCUGCAUGGCUGUCGUCAGCUCGUGUCGUGAGAUGUUGGGUUAAGUCCCGCAACGAGCGCAACCCUCACUUUUAGUUGCCAUCAUUAAGUUGGGCACUCUGAAAGAACUGCCAGUGAUAAGCUGGAGGAAGGUGGGGAUGACGUCAAGUCCUCAUGGCCCUUACGUGUUGGGCUACACACGUGCUACAAUGGUAUCUACAACAGGAAGCAAGACUGCGAAGUUAAGCAAAUCCCUAAAAGAUACCUCAGUUCGGAUUGCACUCUGCAACUCGAGUGCAUGAAGCUGGAAUUACUAGUAAUCGUGGAUCAGCGUGCCACGGUGAAUGCGUUCCCGGGUCUUGUACACACCGCCCGUCACACCAUGGGAGUUGGUUCUACCUUAAGGCAAGGUUUUAAACCCUUGACCACGGUAUAGUCAGCGACUGGGGUGAAGUCGUAACAAGGUAACC